CCGUUUGAGUGUCGUGAAACCUCAACCUUCUCGGUUUCUUCUGGAUGCCGAAGGAGGCUUGGACAUUGGAGGCCUUUGCUGGUGUCUCUCUCUUUUGAAGGCCAGCUCCUCUUAAAUGAAUUAGCAGGGUCCUCUUUGCCGAUCCUUGACAUGUGAUAAGAUGUUUCCAUGUCUUGGCUUUCUGGCUCUGUUGCUUUUGGGACCCGCUUCUAAUCGUCUUGACCUUGCAUCGAGACAAAAGUCUGAGCAUGUCUCCCUUCUCGGGAAACACUCUCGACCCCACAAACCCUUGACCUCAAUCGGGUGAGACUACCCGCUGAACUUA
This 325-nucleotide ribosomal RNA is filed under the name uncultured Lactarius. RNAcentral's name for it is "eukaryotic LSU rRNA". The record is from RNAcentral. Lineage: Eukaryota; Fungi; Basidiomycota; Agaricomycetes; Russulales; Russulaceae.